CCUACGGGGUGCAGCAGUGGGGAAUAUUGCACAAUGGGGGAAACCCUGAUGCAGCAACGCCGCGUGAAGGAAGACGGUUUUCGGAUUGUAAACUUCUAUCAAUAGGGAAGAAAGAAAUGACGGUACCUAAAUAAGAAGCCCCGGCUAACUACGUGCCAGCAGCCGCGGUAAUACGUAGGGGGCAAGCGUUAUCCGGAAUUACUGGGUGUAAAGGGAGAGUAGGCGGCAAGGUAAGCGAUAUGUGAAAGCCUUAAGCUUAACUAAAGGAUUGCAUAACGAACUAUCUAGCUAGAGUACAGGAGAGGAAAGCGGAAUUCCUAGUGGAGCGGUGAAAUGCGUAGAUAUUAGGAAGAACACCAGUGGCGAAGGCGGCUUUCUGGACAGUAACUGACGUUGAGGCUCGAAAGCGUGGGGAGCAAACAGGAUUAGAUACCCUUGUAGUC
RNAcentral lists this ribosomal RNA (443 nucleotides) under uncultured bacterium. RNAcentral describes it as "partial 16S ribosomal RNA". It matches the Rfam family "Bacterial small subunit ribosomal RNA", at positions 338 to 795 of the family's 1533-position model. The record is from RNAcentral.